UUUUUGUAGGAUCCAUCUAAUGAGCUCUAUCGCAAGUCCUUAGAAGUCACAAAUAAGGCACCAGAGUUGCACAUGGAGAUCCACAAGCAUGGGCUUGAUCAAUAGACUAUGGGUGGGGCAUCUUUUGCUUCUACUUCUGUUAACGAAAAGGAAAUCAAAAUAUGGUGAUGGCAUUAGUUGCAAACAAGUCUCACCUGGACGCAAAAUCCCAAAACCAAAAACUUGUUGGGUUUGCUUAUCACCUCACCUCCUGUAAGUCCUACUCUAGCUUAUUUUGGUUUUUCUUUGUAAUGUAAUUGCUGGUUCUAAGUGCUUGGUUUUGCUCAAGUUGGUAGAACUUGAAGUGGGUUGC
Molecule: long non-coding RNA, 352 nt
Organism: Juglans microcarpa x Juglans regia
Lineage: Eukaryota; Viridiplantae; Streptophyta; Magnoliopsida; Fagales; Juglandaceae
Exons: 3
Source: RefSeq, a predicted model, not a curated record